This 703-nucleotide ribosomal RNA is filed under the name Bacteroidales bacterium. RNAcentral describes it as "bacterial SSU rRNA". It matches the Rfam family "Bacterial small subunit ribosomal RNA", at positions 1 to 661 of the family's 1533-position model. Lineage: Bacteria; Pseudomonadati; Bacteroidota; Bacteroidia; Bacteroidales. The record is from RNAcentral.
GGAGCUCUCCCAUAUGGUCGACCUGCAGGCGGCCGCGAAUUCACUAGUGAUUGUUUGAUCCUGGCUCAGGAUGAACGCUAGCGACAGGCCUAACACAUGCAAGUCGAGGGGUAUAAGUAGCUUGCUACUUAGAGACCGGCGCACGGGUGAGUAACGCGUAUGCAACCUACCUUUUACUGGGGGAUAGCCCAAAGAAAUUUGGAUUAAUACCGCAUAACAUAUUUGAAUCGCAUGGUUUAAAUAUUAAAACUUCGGUGGUAAAAGAUGGGCAUGCGUAGCAUUAGUUAGUUGGUGAGGUAACGGCUCACCAAGACUAUGAUGCUUAGGGGGUCUGAGAGGAUAGUCCCCCACACUGGUACUGAGACACGGACCAGACUCCUACGGGAGGCAGCAGUGAGGAAUAUUGGUCAAUGGGCGCAAGCCUGAACCAGCCAUGUCGCGUGCAGGAUGACGGCCCUAUGGGUUGUAAACCGCUUUUUUACAGGAAUAAACUUUGUUACGUGUAGCAAACUGAAGGUACUGUAAGAAUAAGGAUCGGCUAACUCCGUGCCAGCAGCCGCGGUAAUACGGAGGAUCCAAGCGUUAUCCGGAUUUAUUGGGUUUAAAGGGUCCGUAGGCGGGCUUUUAAGUCAGUGGUGAAAUCCCAGAGCUCAACUCUGGAACUGCCAUUGAUACUGAAGGUCUUGAAUUUAGUUGAGGUGGG